Molecule: ribosomal RNA, 570 nt
Filed under: Triticum aestivum (bread wheat)
Lineage: Eukaryota; Viridiplantae; Streptophyta; Magnoliopsida; Poales; Poaceae
Description: partial small subunit ribosomal RNA
Source: RNAcentral
AUGAAGACGAUCCUGGCGUCGGAGACGAUGGAGAUCCCGGAGGAGGUGACGGUGAAGGUGUCGGCGAAGAUGAUCUCGGUGACGGGUCCCCGGGGCACGCUGACCCGCAACUUCAAGCACCUCAACCUCGACUUCCAGCUGCAGGAGGGCGGGCGGAGGCUCAAGGUGGACGCCUGGUUCGGCACCCGCAAGACCAUGGCCGCCAUCCGCACCGCCAUCUCCCACGUCCAGAACCUCAUCACGGGGGUCACCAAGGGCUUCCGCUACAAGAUGCGCUUCGUGUAUGCUCACUUCCCCAUCAACGCCUCCAUCACCGCCGCCAACCGCGGCAUCGAGAUCAGGAACUUCCUCGGCGAGAAGAAGGUGAGGAAGGUGGACAUGCUCGACGGGGUCACCAUCCUGCGGUCCGAGAAGGUCAAGGACGAGAUCGUCCUCGACGGCAACGACAUCGAGCUCGUCUCCCGCUCCGCCGCCCUCAUCAACCAGAAAUGCCAUGUCAAGAACAAGGAUAUCAGGAAGUUCUUGGACGGCAUCUACGUCAGCGACAAGGGCGCCAUCAAGGAGGAGUAG